GAUGAACGCUAGCGGGAGGCCUAACACAUGCAAGCCGAGGGAGACAUCAGACUCGUCUGAUAGACACCGGCGAACGGGUGCGUAACGCGUAUGCAACCUGCCCUUAUCUGGAAGAUAGCCCAGAGAAAUUUGGAUUAAUAUUCCAUAAAAACCAGACAGGCAUCUGUCAAGUUUAAAAAUUCCGAUGGAUAAGGAUGGGCAUGCGUCUGAUUAGGUAGUUGGUGAGGUAACGGCUCACCAAGCCAACGACCAGUAGGGGGCCUGAGAGGGUGAUCCCCCACACUGGUACUGAGACACGGACCAGACUCCUACGGGAGGCAGCAGUGAGGAAUAUUGGACAAUGGGUGCAAGCCUGAUCCAGCCAUCCCGCGUGCAGGAUGACGGCCCUAUGGGUUGUAAACUGCUUUUGUCAAGGAAGAAACCUCCCCACGUGUGGGGAUUUGACGGUACUUGACGAAUAAGCAUCGGCUAACUCCGUGCCAGCAGCCGCGGUAACAC
This 498-nucleotide ribosomal RNA is filed under the name uncultured bacterium. RNAcentral describes it as "bacterial SSU rRNA". It matches the Rfam family "Bacterial small subunit ribosomal RNA", at positions 28 to 526 of the family's 1533-position model. The record is from RNAcentral.